Molecule: small nuclear RNA, 89 nt
Gene: U2
Rfam family: U2 spliceosomal RNA
About the family: U2 is a small nuclear RNA (snRNA) component of the spliceosome (involved in pre-mRNA splicing). Complementary binding between U2 snRNA (in an area lying towards the 5' end but 3' to hairpin I) and the branchpoint sequence (BPS) of the intron results the bulging out of an unpaired adenosine, on the BPS, which initiates a nucleophilic attack at the intronic 5' splice site, thus starting the first of two transesterification reactions that mediate splicing.
Source: Ensembl
UUUGCUUCUCUGCCUUUUGGCUAAGAUCAAGUUCUUAUCAGUUAAAUAUCUGAUACAUCCCCCACAUGGGCAGUGGUGGCCUAGCGGUU